GUAAGGAAUAUUGGUCAAUGGACGAAAGUCUGAACCAGCCAUGCCGCGUGAAGGAUGAAGGCCCUCUGGGUUGUAAACUUCUUUUAUCUGGGACGAAAAAAGGGUAUUCUUACUCACUUGACGGUACCAGAGGAAUAAGCACCGGCUAACUCCGUGCCAGCAGCCGCGGUAAUACGGAGGGUGCAAGCGUUAUCCGGAUUCACUGGGUUUAAAGGGUGCGUAGGUGGGUAUUUAAGUCAGUGGUGAAAUCUCCGAGCUUAACUCGGAAACUGCCAUUGAUACUAUUUACCUUGAAUGCCCUGGAGGUAAGCGGAAUAUGUCAUGUAGCGGUGAAAUGCUUAGAUAUGACAUAGAACACCAAUUGCGAAGGCAGCUUACUACGGGGUGAUUGACACUGAGGCACGAAAGCGUGGGGAGCAAACAGGAUUAGAAACCCGGGUAGUCC
RNAcentral lists this ribosomal RNA (445 nucleotides) under uncultured bacterium. RNAcentral's name for it is "bacterial SSU rRNA". It matches the Rfam family "Bacterial small subunit ribosomal RNA", at positions 354 to 796 of the family's 1533-position model. The record is from RNAcentral.